GACGAACGCUGGCGGCGUGCUUAACACAUGCAAGUCGAACGGAAAGGCCCUGCUGUUGUGGUGUGCUCGAGUGGCGAACGGGUGAGUAACACGUGAGUAACCUGCCCUUGACUUUGGGAUAACUUCAGGAAACUGGGGCUAAUACCGGAUUGUAGCUCCUGCUGCAUGGUGGUGGUUGGAUAGUUUCGGCGGUUGGGGAUGGACUCGCGGCUUAUCAGCUUGUUGGUGGGGGAGUGGCUUACCAAGGCUUUGACGGGUAGCCGGCCUGAGAGGGUGACCGGCAACAUUGGGACUGAGAUACGGCACAGACUACUACGGGAGGCAGCAGUGGGGAAUAUUGCACAAUGGGCGGAAGCCUGAUGCAGCAACGCCGCGUGCGGGAUGACGGCCUUCGGGUUGUAAACCGCUUUCGCAUGUGACGAAGCGUGAGUGACGGUAAUGGGUAAAGAAGCACCGGCUAACUACGUG
This 468-nucleotide ribosomal RNA is filed under the name uncultured bacterium. Its description in RNAcentral is "partial 16S ribosomal RNA". It matches the Rfam family "Bacterial small subunit ribosomal RNA", at positions 28 to 507 of the family's 1533-position model. The record is from RNAcentral.